GCAGAGGGCCCUUAUUUUGCAGAUACUGCAAGAAAUCUGGGCACUUAAUUGAUAAGUGCUACUAGAUCCAUGGGUUUCCUCAAAACAUUAAUUACACCAAGGGAAGGAAAUCUGUAGCUGCUCAUGUCUCCACUGGUGAUGACUGUGUGUCUAUUAAUCAUGGGAAUCCUAAUUUGUCUGUUCCUCUUGGGGAUCCUUCUGCCAACCAUCACCAUG
RNAcentral lists this long non-coding RNA (216 nucleotides) under Nicotiana benthamiana. Its description in RNAcentral is "long non-coding RNA (NBEN_LNC000508)". The record is from RNAcentral. Lineage: Eukaryota; Viridiplantae; Streptophyta; Magnoliopsida; Solanales; Solanaceae.